GAGAGAGAAGCAGAGGAAGAAAAUGAACAUUGCUGUUUUGUGUUGCUGAAUUGAAUGCUAACCUCUAAACUUGACACUCCACUCACUCAUCCCUUUCAUCAACACAACAAUGGCAUCUUCUUUCGCUUCAACUGCUUCUUCCGCAUCUUCUUCGCUUCCCACUCCCUCAAAACCCAAACCCAAAAUCAAUCAUUUCCGCUUCUCUCACUCCAACCUCUCUUUCCGUCUCUCUCCUAAACCCAAUCUUCCUUUCCUCACCAAGGGAUCCCCACCAUGUCAAAUUGUAUGCCCAAGGGUGAAGGCACAAUUGAAUGAGGUUUCUCUUGAUGGUUCCUCAAAUGCUGUCGCUCCUACAACAGCCAAUUCAGAGGCCGAAGCAACAGCCAAACCUUCAAGUGGAACAUCGUCUGGAGUCUUGGCUUCUCAAGAAUCUAUCUCUCAGUUUAUUACUCAAGUUGCAAGCCUUGUCAAACUUGUUGAUUCAAGAGACAUUGUAGAGUUGCAGUUGAAGCAGCAUGACUGUGAAGUAAUGAUCAGGAAGAGGGAGGCUAUGCCUCAACCACAGCCUCCUGCUCAGCCUGCCAUGUACUAUCCACCCCCGUCACUAGCAGCGCCACCUGUUGCUCCUGCAUCUUCUCCAGCACCUGCCCCAACUCCUGCUACCCGUGCAGCAUCAGCUUCUCCACCUGCUGCAAAGUCAACUAAAUCAUCACUUCCGCCUCUUAAAUGUCCUAUGGCAGGGACAUUUUACCGCAGUCCUGGUCCUGGUGAACCUCCAUUUGUGAAGGUUGGAGACAAAGUAAAGAAGGGCCAAGUAUUGUGCAUCAUCGAGGCGAUGAAAUUGAUGAAUGAAAUAGAAUGCAUGUUGAAGGUUGAGAUCUAAGGUUCUCAAUUUGCUAAGCGGUCUUCAUUCCUCUCUAUCGACUUUAAAAUAUGAUUAAAGUGAUGCCUUUUCCCAUGAAAGAUAUGCUUUUCGGAAAGAAGAUGAUGUCAGCAUAAAUGAGGAAAGGGGGAGCUGAUCAAUCAGGAACUAUAGUCGAAAUCCUUGCAGAAGAUGGCAAGCCUGUUAGUGUUGACAUGCCCCUUUUUGUGAUUGAACCUUAGAGCUUGUGGAGUGUUCAGAGUACAAUCAUUGAAAGAAGAUAUGAAAAUUAAAGUUAUCUGCAAGUCUCGGUAGUUUAAAAUUGUGAGAGGCUUAUCGUCAUCGUCAUCAUCAUCAUCAUGAGAAGUGUAGGAAGAUUUUGGCCUGAAAUAUUGGAAUGGUACAGUUGAGAGGAGAAUUACUCGUCAUAAUGGAUUUAUUCCUUAUAUUUUUUCAUCUCUUGUUGUACCUUACACUGAUUUUUCACUUUUUAAUUUAUUAGACUAUGUUCUAACUAGCUA
Non-coding RNA from Arachis ipaensis, 1383 nucleotides. Lineage: Eukaryota; Viridiplantae; Streptophyta; Magnoliopsida; Fabales; Fabaceae. The record is from RefSeq and is a predicted model, not a curated record.